GUUGUUAUGCAAUGGCUCAAAUACCUAAAGAGAAAAUUAAGAAAUGGGACUCUAAAUCACAGAAACUUAUUUUUGUUGGUUAUUGUGAAAAUAGUAAAGGAUAUAGAUUAUUAGAUUCCAAAACAAAAAAUAUCAUAAAAAGUAGAAAUGUAAUUUUCCUAGAGAAUAGUAUAACAAGAAAUGUGGUUCCUCUCUCAUUGUCAGAAUCAGAAAAUAAAGAAUCAGAUCAUGUAAUUGAAAGUUUUUCAAACCGUGAAGAUAACACCACAGAUUUGUCGUCUCAUACACCCGUGGAUCACAGCGAUGGUUCUGAUGACCCUGAGUAUGUACCGGAGAUGUCAGUGAAGUAUCCUCAGAGUUCUAAUAUUACACUUCGUCCUCGAAAUAAAAUUAAAAAGAACACAGAACCUAAGACAUACCUAUGCUCAAGUAAUGUACCACUCUCUGUCACACCACAAACAUAUGCAGAAGCAUUGUCAUCAAAAGACUCUAACUUGUGGAUGAAGUCGAUUGAAGAAGAGCUGAAAGCACAUAGUGAUAAUGGUACAUGGCAGUUAGUAGAACAGCCACCUGAAGCUAGAGUUAUAGGAUGUAAAUGGGUGUUUCGUAUAAAGGAUUAAAAUGAAGGACUAAGGUACAAAGCAAGGCUAUGCGCUAAAGGAUUCACACAGAAAAGCGGUAUUGACUGUACUGAGACAUUUGCACCAACUGUCAGAUCAACUCAAAGUAACAUACUUGAAUGUUACUCUGAUGCCGACUAUGCCAAUGAUCCUGACACCAGAAGGUCUAUCACUGGUUACAUCUUCAUGAAAAAUGGAGCAGCAGUGACGUGGAGCACUCAACGACAAUCAACCGUCGCUCUGUCUACCACUGAGGCAGAG
Long non-coding RNA from Pieris rapae (cabbage white), 881 nucleotides. RefSeq lists it as uncharacterized. The transcript is spliced from 2 exons. The record is from RefSeq and is a predicted model, not a curated record. NCBI's taxonomy places the organism in Eukaryota, Metazoa, Arthropoda, Insecta, Lepidoptera, Pieridae.